RNAcentral lists this long non-coding RNA (447 nucleotides) under Dermacentor andersoni. RNAcentral's name for it is "uncharacterized LOC126539246". Lineage: Eukaryota; Metazoa; Arthropoda; Arachnida; Ixodida; Ixodidae. The record is from RNAcentral.
UCAUAUUUUCGAAGUGCCUAAACAAACUGUGAUCCGUACCGUGUGCAUUAACCAUCAGGAAACCUCUGGACUCGUAUAACGCCAUUAGUUCGCCUUAUGUUUCCUGUGAUACGCCAGUGUCUUAUGCGUACUACAGCGCCCGUCCGAGCUGCCUUUGUUCUCGCCUGUCCGCGUUCGCUCGUGGAAUACCUGGUACUGUGGCUUCGAAUUAUGGUGCGUGGAAGAAUUUUUUGAAAGUUGUGCUUUCGUGCGCUGGUGUUCAUCGGCAAUUCGACAGUGUUCGCGCCGGAAAGAGCGUCGUCGCGUGUUGCCUGCGAGACGAAGGAGCCGUUUGCUGACCACAUUGAAGGUCCCAAGCACCACAUUCCAGAGGUCUGCUGUGAGCAGACGUGGCAAAUUGCAGUAACAUCCAGAUAGUCCAAUAAACUGUUCGUAGUUUCAGACAAA